Molecule: unclassified non-coding RNA, 294 nt
Filed under: uncultured fungus
Lineage: Eukaryota; Fungi
Description: sequence contains ITS1
Source: RNAcentral
GGGACUACUAGGGUAUCUAAUCCUGUUUGCUCCCCACGCCUUCGCGCCUCAGCGUCAGUAUUGGUCCAGGAAGCCGCCUUCGCCACCGGUGUUCCUCCUGAUAUCUACGCAUUUCACCGCUACACCAGGAAUUCCGCUUCCCUCUCCCAUACUCAAGCCCCUUAGUUUCAAAUGCACUUCCUCAGUUAAGCUGAGGGCUUUCACAUCUGACUUAAGGGGCCGCCUACGCGCCCUUUACGCCCAAUGAUUCCGAAUAACGCUUGCACCCCCCGUAUUACCGCGGCUGCUGGCACC